GCUUACGGUCACACUACCCUAAGAAUACACAAUCUCGUCUGAUCUCGGAUGCUUAGCAGGGUUUGGCCUGGUAAGUACUUGGAUGGGAGACCAACUGGGAAUACCAGGUGCUGUAAGCU
Molecule: ribosomal RNA, 119 nt
Filed under: Astyanax mexicanus (Mexican tetra)
Lineage: Eukaryota; Metazoa; Chordata; Actinopteri; Characiformes; Acestrorhamphidae
Source: RNAcentral